This 492-nucleotide ribosomal RNA is filed under the name uncultured bacterium. RNAcentral's name for it is "partial 16S ribosomal RNA". It matches the Rfam family "Bacterial small subunit ribosomal RNA", at positions 29 to 507 of the family's 1533-position model. The record is from RNAcentral.
AGUGAACGCUGGCGGUAGGCCUAACACAUGCAAGUCGAACGGCAGCACAGUAAGAGCUUGCUCUUACGGGUGGCGAGUGGCGGACGGGUGAGGAAUACAUCGGAAUCUACUUUUUCGUGGGGGAUAACGUAGGGAAACUUACGCUAAUACCGCAUACGACCUACGGGUGAAAGCAGGGGAUCUUCGGACCUUGCGCGAUUGAAUGAGCCGAUGUCGGAUUAGCUAGUUGGCGGGGUAAAGGCCCACCAAGGCGACGAUCCGUAGCUGGUCUGAGAGGAUGAUCGGCCACACUGGAACUGAGACACGGUCCAGACUCCUACGGGAGGCAGCAGUGGGGAAUAUUGGACAAUAGGCGCAAGCCUGAUCCAGCCAUACCGUGUGGGUGAAGAAGGCCUUCGGGUUGUAAAGCCCUUUUGUUGGGAAAGAAAAGCAGCAGGUUAAUACCCCGCUGUUCUGACGGUACCCAAAGAAUAAGCACCGGCUAACUUCGUG